This 253-nucleotide ribosomal RNA is filed under the name uncultured bacterium. Its description in RNAcentral is "partial 16S ribosomal RNA". It matches the Rfam family "Bacterial small subunit ribosomal RNA", at positions 524 to 776 of the family's 1533-position model. The record is from RNAcentral.
UACGUAGGGGGCAAGCGUUGUCCGGAAUUAUUGGGCGUAAAGGGCGUGUAGGCGGUCCGGUAAGUCAGCUGUGAAAGUCAAGGGCUCAACCCUUGAAAGCCGGUUGAUACUGUCGGGCUAGAGUCCGGAAGAGGCGAGUGGAAUUCCCGGUGUAGCGGUGAAAUGCGCAGAUAUCGGGAGGAACACCAAUGGCGAAGGCAGCUCGCUGGGACGGUACUGACGCUGAGACGCGAAAGCGUGGGGAGCAAACAGG